AGUCGAGCGCAGGAAGCUCACGGAACUCUUCGGAGGGAAGUGAAGGGAAUGAGCGGCGGACGGGUGAGUAACACGUAAGGAACCUGCCCCAAGGAUUGGGAUAACUCCGAGAAAUCGGAGCUAAUACCGAAUAGUUCUUCAGACCGCAUGGUCUGAUGAUGAAAGGCGCUCCGGCGUCACCUUGGGAUGGCCUUGCGGUGCAUUAGCUAGUUGGUGGGGUAAUGGCCCACCAAGGCGACGAUGCAUAGCCGACCUGAGAGGGUGAUCGGCCACACUGGGACUGAGACACGGCCCAGACUCCUACGGGAGGCAGCAGUAGGGAAUCUUCCACAAUGGACGAAAGUCUGAUGGAGCAACGCCGCGUGAGUGAUGAAGGUUUUCGGAUCGUAAAACUCUGUUGUAAGGGAAGAACAAGUACGAGAGGUAAUGCUCGUACCUUGACGGUACCUUGCGAGAAAGCCACGGCUAACUACGUGCCAGCAGCCGCGGUAAUACGUAGGUGGCAAGCGUUGUCCGGAAUUAUUGGGCGUAAAGCGCGCGCAGGCGGCCUUUUAAGUCUGAUGUGAAAGCCCCCGGCUCAACCGGGGAGGGUCAUUGGAAACUGGAAGGCUUGAGUACAGAAGAGAAGAGUGGAAUUCCAUGUGUAGCGGUGAAAUGCGUAGAGAUGUGGAGGAACACCAGUGGCGAAGGCGACUCUUUGGUCUGUAACUGACGCUGAGGCGCGAAAGCGUGGGGAGCAAACAG
RNAcentral lists this ribosomal RNA (744 nucleotides) under uncultured bacterium. RNAcentral's name for it is "bacterial SSU rRNA". It matches the Rfam family "Bacterial small subunit ribosomal RNA", at positions 60 to 775 of the family's 1533-position model. The record is from RNAcentral.